Molecule: long non-coding RNA, 297 nt
Organism: Hemicordylus capensis (graceful crag lizard)
Lineage: Eukaryota; Metazoa; Chordata; Lepidosauria; Squamata; Cordylidae
Exons: 2
Source: RefSeq, a predicted model, not a curated record
UGUACUUGUCCCUUUAUCCCAUGACUGCUAAGUUUCCUCAAGAGUCGUUGAUGAGGAACUUUGUCAAAAGCUUUUUGGAAGUCCAGGUAUAGUUGGAAGACUACUCUUCUUGAGUUGCAAGACUACUCUGUGAAGAGCAGACACAUCUAGGGGAGACUUCUGCUAAAUUGCUGCUUCCGUGAUACAGCUACAACAUCAAUAACCAGAACAACAACAGCUCUUCCGUUGGUCAAUUAAGUUUGCUACAUGGAUAUUAAUGUAAAUAUGGCUCUUUGUAAAUACAUUUUUGUUGACUAA